RNAcentral lists this ribosomal RNA (607 nucleotides) under uncultured eukaryote. RNAcentral's name for it is "SSU rRNA". It matches the Rfam family "Eukaryotic small subunit ribosomal RNA", at positions 591 to 1218 of the family's 1831-position model. The record is from RNAcentral.
CUCAUAGCGUAUAUUUAAGUUGUUGCAGUUAAAAAGCUCGUAGUCGGAUUUUGGCUGAGAACGGUCGGUCCGCCGUUAGGUGUGCACUGACUGGUCUCAGCUUCCUGGUGAGGAGGUGUGCUUCAUCGCCACUUAGUCACCGUGGUUACUUUGAAAAAAUUAGAGUGUUCAAAGCGGGCUUACGCUUGAAUAUAUUAGCAUGGAAUAACACCAUAGGACUCCUGUCCUAUUUCGUUGGUCUCGGGACGGGAGUAAUGAUUAAGAGGAACAGUUGGGGGCAUUCGUAUUUCAUUGUCAGAGGUGAAAUUCUUGGAUUUAUGAAAGACGAACUUCUGCGAAAGCAUUUGCCAAGGAUGUUUUCAUUGAUCAAGAACGAAAGUUGGGGGCUCGAAGAUGAUUAGAUACCAUCCUAGUCUCAACCAUAAACGAUGCCGACUAGGGAUUGGCGGAUGUUAAUUGAUGACUUCGCCAGCACCUUAUGGGAAAUCAAAGUUUUUGGGUUCCGGGGGGAGUAUGGUCGCAAGGCUGAAACUUAAAGGAAUUGACGGAAGGGCACCACCAGGCGUGGAGCCUGCGGCUUAAUUUGACUCAACACGGGGAAACUUAC